CAAGUCGAACGGGAAUCUUCGGAUUCUAGUGGCGGACGGGUGAGUAACGCGUAAGAAUCUAACUUCAGGACGGGGACAACAGUCGGAAACGACUGCUAAUACCCGAUAUGCCGCGAGGUGAAACCUAAUUGGCCUGAAGAAGAGCUUGCGUCUGAUUAGCUAGUUGGUGGGGUAAGAGCCUACCAAGGCGACGAUCAGUAGCUGGUCUGAGAGGAUGAGCAGCCACACUGGGACUGAGACACGGCCCAGACUCCUACGGGAGGCAGCAGUGGGGAAUUUUCCGCAAUGGGCGAAAGCCUGACGGAGCAACGCCGCGUGAGGGAGGAAGGUCUUUGGAUUGUAAACCUCUUUUCUCAAGGAAGAAGUUCUGACGGUACUUGAGGAAUCAGCCUCGGCUAACUCCGUGCCAGCAGCCGCGGUAAUACGGGGGAGGCAAGCGUUAUCCGGAAUUAUUGGGCGUAAAGCGUCCGCAGGUGGUCAGCCAAGUCUGCUGUCAAAUCAGGUUGCUUAACGACCUAAAGGCGGUGGAAACUGGCAGACUAGAGAGCAGUAGGGGUAGCAGGAAUUCCCAGUGUAGCGGUGAAAUGCGUAGAGAUUGGGAAGAACAUCGGUGGCGAAAGCGUGCUACUGGGCUGUAUCUGACACUCAGGGACGAAAGCUAGGGGAGCGAAAGGGAUUAGAUACCCCUGUAGUCCUAGCCGUAAACGAUGGAUACUAGGCGUGGCUUGUAUCGACCCGAGCCGUGCCGAAGCUAACGCGUUAAGUAUCCCGCCUGGGGGAGUACGCACGCAAGUGUGAAACUCAAAGGAAUUGACGG
This 817-nucleotide ribosomal RNA is filed under the name uncultured bacterium. Its description in RNAcentral is "bacterial SSU rRNA". It matches the Rfam family "Bacterial small subunit ribosomal RNA", at positions 58 to 916 of the family's 1533-position model. The record is from RNAcentral.